GCGGAAGCUGAGGAGAACCCGGGCCCGGCGUGAGGGCUCGCGGGCCGCCGCGGUCAUUCGCUGUGCUCCGCUUCCAGCGAGGACAGUCUCCUCCUGCUGCUCGGACCGCCUCAGUCCUCAUCUUCCUCCUCAGUCCUACCACCCCCUCCAGCUCCUCAAAAGCACCCCCGACCCCCUAGCCCUUCACGCCCCACCCGCGGGAACCAGGCCUUGGAAAUUCGGGGGAGUGGCUGGCUGUAGGGGCGCGUCGCGGCUCCCAGCUCCGCCUGCCCCUCUUCCAGGACAUGGUCUGGUCCCCAUUGUAAAAGCUGCGCCCCGAAGAGGAGAGCGUUGUGUUCUCGGCGUGGGCUGCAGGGAUAUCUCCGGGCUGAAGCGCUUGCAUUAUUUUAGGGUGGGG
This 397-nucleotide long non-coding RNA is filed under the name Marmota monax (woodchuck). The record is from RNAcentral. Lineage: Eukaryota; Metazoa; Chordata; Mammalia; Rodentia; Sciuridae.